AGGAAAGUAGGGGAUCGCAAGACCUUGNCGCUUUUGGAGCGGCCGAUGUCUUGAUUAGCUAGUUGGUGAGGUAAAGGCUUACCAAGGCUUCGAUCAGUAGCUGGUCUGAGAGGACGACCAGCCACACUGGGACUGAGACACGGCCCAGACUCCUACGGGAGGCAGCAGUGGGGAAUUUUGGACAAUGGGGGAAACCCUGAUCCAGCCAUGCCGCGUGAGUGAAGAAGGCCUUCGGGUUGUAAAGCUCUUUCAGCCGGAACGAAAAGGUUACGGUUAAUACCCGUGACUAAUGACGGUACCGGAAGAAGAAGCACCGGCUAACUACGUGCCAGCAGCCGCGGUAAUACGUAGGGUGCGAGCGUUAAUCGGAAUUACUGGGCGUAAAGCGUGCGCAGGCGGUUUUGUAAGUCAGAUGUGAAAUCCCCGGGCUCAACCUGGGAACUGCGUUUGAAACUACAAAGCU
This 463-nucleotide ribosomal RNA is filed under the name uncultured beta proteobacterium. RNAcentral's name for it is "bacterial SSU rRNA". It matches the Rfam family "Bacterial small subunit ribosomal RNA", at positions 186 to 642 of the family's 1533-position model. Lineage: Bacteria; Pseudomonadati; Pseudomonadota; Betaproteobacteria. The record is from RNAcentral.